UACGUAGGGUGCGAGCGUUGUCCGGAAUUAUUGGGCGUAAAGAGCUCGUAGGCGGUUUGUUACGUCGGCCGUGAAAACCUGCAGCUUAACUGUGGGCGUGCGGUCGAUACGGGCAUCACUGGAGUUCGGCAGGGGAGACUGGAACUCCUGGUGUAGCGGUGAAAUGCGCAGAUAUCAGGAGGAACACCGGUGGCGAAGGCGGGUCUCUGGGCCGAAACUGACGCUGAGGAGCGAAAGCGUGGGGAGCGAACAGG
RNAcentral lists this ribosomal RNA (254 nucleotides) under uncultured bacterium. RNAcentral describes it as "partial 16S ribosomal RNA". It matches the Rfam family "Bacterial small subunit ribosomal RNA", at positions 524 to 776 of the family's 1533-position model. The record is from RNAcentral.